CAGUCGCCACGGUAAUAUGUAGGGUGCAAGCGUUAUCCGGAAUUAUUGGGCGUAAAGAGCUCGUAGGCGGUUUGUCGCGUCUGCUGUGAAAACUGGAGGCUCAACCUCCAGCCUGCAGUGGGUACGGGCAAACUAGAGUGCGGUAGGGGAGAUUGGAAUUCCUGGUGUAGCGGUGGAAUGCGCAGAUAUCAGGAGGAACACCGAUGGCGAAGGCAGAUCUCUGGGCCGUAACUGACGCUGAGGAGCGAAAGCAUGGGGAGCGAACAGGAUUAGAGACCCGCGUAGUCCCUGUCUCUUAUAC
RNAcentral lists this ribosomal RNA (301 nucleotides) under uncultured bacterium. RNAcentral's name for it is "partial 16S ribosomal RNA". It matches the Rfam family "Bacterial small subunit ribosomal RNA", at positions 509 to 807 of the family's 1533-position model. The record is from RNAcentral.